Molecule: ribosomal RNA, 326 nt
Filed under: uncultured eukaryote
Lineage: Eukaryota
Description: partial 18S ribosomal RNA
Rfam family: Eukaryotic small subunit ribosomal RNA
Source: RNAcentral
CCCUUAGAUGUUCUGGGCUGCACGCGCGCUACACUGAUGCAUGCAACGAGUUUUCGACCUUGCCUGAAAAGGUUGGGUAAUCUGUUUAACAUGUGUCGUGAUGGGGAUAGACCAUUGCAAUUAUUGAUCUUCAACGAGGAAUUCCUAGUAAGCGCGAGUCAUCAGCUCGUGCUGAUUAUGUCCCUGCCCUUUGUACACACCGCCCGUCGCUCCUACCGAUCGAGUGAUCCGGUGAAUGAUUCGGACCAGCGUGCUGCUCAGAUCCUGCGCAGUGUGCUGGGAAGUCUAGUGAACCUUAUCACUUAGAGGAAGGAGAAGUCGUAACA